RNAcentral lists this microRNA precursor (62 nucleotides) under Pelobates cultripes (western spadefoot toad). The record is from RNAcentral. Lineage: Eukaryota; Metazoa; Chordata; Amphibia; Anura; Pelobatidae.
UAGUGCUGCAAUGUAAACAUUGCAGUUUUACAAAAACUGCAAUAUUUGACAUUGCAGGACUA